GUGCUCGCUUCGGCAGCACAUAUACUAAAAUUGGAAUGAUACAGAGAAGAUUAGCAUGGCCCCUGCUCAAGGAUGACCCAAAUUAAAACUUUCCAUGUAUAU
This is a small nuclear RNA of Ochotona princeps (American pika), 102 nucleotides long. The record is from Ensembl. Lineage: Eukaryota; Metazoa; Chordata; Mammalia; Lagomorpha; Ochotonidae.